RNAcentral lists this ribosomal RNA (468 nucleotides) under uncultured bacterium. Its description in RNAcentral is "partial 16S ribosomal RNA". It matches the Rfam family "Bacterial small subunit ribosomal RNA", at positions 28 to 507 of the family's 1533-position model. The record is from RNAcentral.
GACGAACGCUGGCGGCGUGCUUAACACAUGCAAGUCGAACGGAAAGGCCCUGCUUUUGUGGGGUGCUCGAGUGGCGAACGGGUGAGUAACACGUGAGUAACCUGCCCUUGACUUUGGGAUAACUUCAGGAAACUGGGGCUAAUACCGGAUAGGAGCUCCUGCUGCAUGGUGGGGGUUGGAAAGUUUCGGCGGUUGGGGAUGGACCCACGGCUUAUCAGCUUGUUGGUGGGGUAGUGGCUUACCAAGGCUUUGACGGGUAGCCGGCCUGAGAGGGUGACCGGCCACAUUGGGACUGAGAUACGGCACAGACUCCUACGGGAGGCAGCAGUGGGGAAUAUUGCACAAUGGGCGGAGGCCUGAUGCAGCAACGCCGCGUGCGGGAUGACGGCCUUCGGGUUGUAAACCGCUUUCGCCUGUGACGAAGCGUGAGUGACGGUAAUGGGUAAAGAAGCACCGGCUAACUACGUG